UUACCUCAAACACUCUCACCCUCUUUUUCUCGAUUUCUUCUCUCACUCACUCACUCACUCUCUCUCUCUCUCUCUCUUCAGUAGCAACUCUCUCCCAAAAUGAAGAGAUUGAUCUAGGGUUUAUUUUUAUACCCUAGGAAUGACAUACGAUCAACCUCUAUAAAGAUACAGGCUGUCAGAUCAAAGGGUGGCAUUUUUAUCUUUUUAGGUGCGAAAUCAACCCCUCACCAUUCGACCAUGACCCUUUGAACCUCAGUCAU
Molecule: long non-coding RNA, 260 nt
Filed under: Carica papaya (papaya)
Lineage: Eukaryota; Viridiplantae; Streptophyta; Magnoliopsida; Brassicales; Caricaceae
Description: long non-coding RNA (CPAP_LNC005669)
Source: RNAcentral